Long non-coding RNA from Thalassophryne amazonica, 96 nucleotides. RefSeq lists it as uncharacterized. Lineage: Eukaryota; Metazoa; Chordata; Actinopteri; Batrachoidiformes; Batrachoididae. The transcript is spliced from 3 exons. The record is from RefSeq and is a predicted model, not a curated record.
AAAGAUUGACAAUGAGAGAUGGACUAUUUAAAGUGCAGAGAGUCACCCAGUUUUAAUCAGGUAACUGUGAAUAAUUUUUGUGUCAUUAAAGAAGGA